RNAcentral lists this long non-coding RNA (625 nucleotides) under Equus asinus (donkey). Its description in RNAcentral is "lncRNA (ENSEASG00005038448.1)". Lineage: Eukaryota; Metazoa; Chordata; Mammalia; Perissodactyla; Equidae. The record is from RNAcentral.
CACAGGGACUUUGCACUUGCUCUUCCUGCCGCCUAAAACCUUCUUACCCCAGGUUCUCAAGCCUUGAUAUAUAUACUGAGAACAUAUAAUGUGCCAGACAUUAUACCAAGUUUAAAAAUGAAAAGGAGUUCCAGACACCAGGCAAAGCACGAAGGCCAACUAGGAAGAUCCUACAGAAAACAGAGAGGAAUUGUUCCUUACAACAGAACAGAGAAACAAAAUGCAAGUUUUGGACAAUACCACCAAAGAAACAAUCCAGAGAGAGGAAGCAGUUUCAGUAAACCAACAUAUCUGAAAAAUUAAUUUGGACAUAAAAGCAAAUUUCCUACUUCAGUCUCAUUGUAAUCAUCUGGUUACUCCAGGGAGAUCUUAAACUUCCUCUGGAUAAUCAUUUACAAAGUGCUGAAUGUAAUCGGUGGAGCAUAAAAAGCCAGAUCCUGUACUCCUGAACGUCUUCCCUGGGAAACUUCUUCCUGGGAUGUGGGCCCCCAGGCAACACCAUCGAGUUGAAGGGUUCUAUAACCGAAGGGACUUCUGGACCAGUGAGCUCAGCUCUUUGCCUAAGAGGGAGAAAAGGGAGCUCCACAGUCAUAGCUGGUCCACCAUGGUGCUGGUGCGCUGUCUU